Long non-coding RNA from Suricata suricatta (meerkat), 637 nucleotides. RefSeq lists it as uncharacterized. The record is from RefSeq and is a predicted model, not a curated record. Lineage: Eukaryota; Metazoa; Chordata; Mammalia; Carnivora; Herpestidae. The transcript has 2 exons.
UAAUAUGUAAACAGAGCAAGAUUUCCAUGUCUACAAAAUGAGAUAAAAUUUCCUGCCUCGCAGGGUCAGUUUGAAAAUUAAGAUUAGGAGAACCCCUGGAACAACAUAAGGCACAGAAAUUACUCAUUUGAGAAAGGAGGUGAGGUGAAGGAGCAUCCAGAUUACAUAAGGGAUCCUCCAGGUCAAGGUACAUCAAGCAAGUCCAAAGAAUGAACUAGGGAGAAAAGAAAAACAAGAUGACUGGCUUCCAAAGCAUUGAGCACAUUCAAGAAGGCUGAGUACAGACAGUGCUCAUUCAGAGGUUCAGUUUGGUCAGGGUUGGGUGCGAAAGGGGGCACGUGGCAGGAAGCCAGUCACUGAUGUCCACUCAGCCCACCCUGAGCCAGCACUGUCCUCAGAGUGGUAGGGAGUUAGGUCCAAACCAGAGGAAACCUCAGAGAUGAGAGACUCCAUUUCCUCCUUUUCUUGGAUAGAGCAACUGGCCUUUUUACAAAAGCAAAUAAUUAAAAGUACCAUUUGGAUGGCAUGUCACACAAGACCCUCCACACUAGCCUGCAUAAUUCCUAUGACACUCUCAUGGAACAUGGCCAUCCUCACUGUAAAAGCAAAGAAAUAAAGGUUCUGCAACAUUAAGUCA